Molecule: ribosomal RNA, 119 nt
Organism: Quercus robur (English oak)
Lineage: Eukaryota; Viridiplantae; Streptophyta; Magnoliopsida; Fagales; Fagaceae
Source: RefSeq, a predicted model, not a curated record
UGGUGCGAUCAUACCAACACUAAUGCACCGGAUCCCUUCAGAACUCCGCAGUUAAGCGUGUAUCGGCGAGAGUAGUACGAGGAAGGGUGACCUCCUGCGAAGUCCUCGUGCUGCACCCC